This 244-nucleotide ribosomal RNA is filed under the name uncultured bacterium. RNAcentral's name for it is "partial 16S ribosomal RNA". It matches the Rfam family "Bacterial small subunit ribosomal RNA", at positions 57 to 305 of the family's 1533-position model. The record is from RNAcentral.
GCAAGUCGAACGGUUUGAUUUCCUUCGGGAAAUCAGAUAGUGGCGAACGGGUGAGUAACGCGUGGGAACGUGCCCUUAAGUCUGGGAUAGCUCCGGGAAACCGGGGGUAAUACCGGAUAUCUUCAGUGUUCGCACUGAAGAAAGGCAGAAAUGUCGCUUAUGGAUCGGCCCGCGCUCGAUUAGAUAGUUGGUGGGGUAAAAGCCUACCAAGUCUACGAUCGAUAGUUGGUUUGAGAGGAUGAUC